RNAcentral lists this ribosomal RNA (2820 nucleotides) under Xanthomonas albilineans GPE PC73. RNAcentral describes it as "bacterial LSU rRNA". It matches the Rfam family "Bacterial large subunit ribosomal RNA". Lineage: Bacteria; Pseudomonadati; Pseudomonadota; Gammaproteobacteria; Lysobacterales; Lysobacteraceae. The record is from RNAcentral.
GGUCAAGCGAAUAAGCGCACACGGUGGAUGCCUUGGCGGUCAGAGGCGAUGAAGGACGUGGCAGCCUGCGAAAAGUGUCGGGGAGCUGGCAACAAGCUUUGAUCCGGCAAUGUCCGAAUGGGGAAACCCACUGCUUCGGCAGUAUCCUGCAGUGAAUUCAUAGCUGCUGGAAGCGAACCCGGUGAACUGAAAUAUCUAAGUAACCGGAGGAAAAGAAAUCAACCGAGAUUCCCUAAGUAGUGACGAGCGAACGGGGACUAGCCCUUAAGCUGGUAUGGUUUUAGAAAAACAACCUGGAAAGGUUGGCCAUAGAAGGUGAUAGCCCUGUAUUUAAAAGGGCCAUACCAGUGAAGACGAGUAGGGCGGGGCACGUGAAACCCUGUCUGAACAUGGGGGGACCAUCCUCCAAGGCUAAAUACUCCUGACCGACCGAUAGUGAACCAGUACCGUGAGGGAAAGGCGAAAAGAACCCCGGAGAGGGGAGUGAAAUAGAUCCUGAAACCGUGUGCGUACAAGCAGUAGGAGCUCGUAAGAGUGACUGCGUACCUUUUGUAUAAUGGGUCAGCGACUUACUGUUCGUGGCAAGCUUAACCGUAUAGGGGAGGCGAAGGGAAACCGAGUCUGAUAAGGGCGCAUAGUCGCGGGCAGUAGACCCGAAACCGGGUGAUCUAGUCAUGCCCAGGGUGAAGGUCAGGUAACACUGACUGGAGGCCCGAACCCACUCCCGUUGCAAAGGUAGGGGAUGAGGUGUGAUUAGGAGUGAAAAGCUAAUCGAACCCGGAGAUAGCUGGUUCUCCUCGAAAGCUAUUUAGGUAGCGCCUCAUAUGUAUCCUCUCGGGGGUAGAGCACUGUUAUGGCUAGGGGGUCAUCGCGACUUACCAAACCAUUGCAAACUCCGAAUACCGAGACGGACUGUAUGGGAGACACACGGCGGGUGCUAACGUCCGUCGUGAAAAGGGAAACAACCCAGACCCACAGCUAAGGUCCCAAAUUCACUGCUAAGUGGAAAACGAUGUGGAAAGGCAUAGACAGCCAGGAGGUUGGCUUAGAAGCAGCCACCCUUUAAAGAAAGCGUAAUAGCUCACUGGUCGAGUCGGUCUGCGCGGAAGAUUUAACGGGGCUAAGCAGUGAACCGAAGCUUGGGGUGCAUCGCGUUAAGCGAUGCGCGGUAGAGGAGCGUUCCGUAAGCCUGCGAAGGUGGAUUGAGAAGUCUGCUGGAGGUAUCGGAAGUGCGAAUGCUGACAUGAGUAACGAUAAUGCGGGUGAAAAACCCGCACGCCGAAAGCCCAAGGUUUCCUUGCGCAACGUUAAUCGGCGCAGGGUGAGUCGGCCCCUAAGGCGAGGGCGAAAGCCGUAGUCGAUGGGAAGCAGGUUAAUAUUCCUGCACCUCGCGUAAGUGCGAUGGAGGGACGGAGAAGGUUAGGUGUACCGGGCGUUGGUUGUCCCGGGGAAAGGCGGUAGGUUUGGAUCCUUGGCAAAUCCGGGGUCCUUUAAGACCGAGCACCGAGACGAGUCUUUGAGACGAAGUCACUGAUACCACGCUUCCAGGAAAAGCUCCUAAGCUUCAGCUUACGCAGACCGUACCGUAAACCGACACAGGUGGGUAGGAUGAGAAUUCUCAGGCGCUUGAGAGAACUCGGGUGAAGGAACUAGGCAACAUGGCACCGUAACUUCGGGAGAAGGUGCACCCUUUUUGGUGGCUCGUGCGAGCUAUAGCUGAAGAGGGUCGCAGAAACCAGGCCGCUGCGACUGUUUAUCAAAAACACAGCACUCUGCAAACACGAAAGUGGACGUAUAGGGUGUGACGCCUGCCCGGUGCUGGAAGGUUAAUUGAUGGGGUCAGCCGCAAGGCGAAGCUCUUGAUCGAAGCCCCAGUAAACGGCGGCCGUAACUAUAACGGUCCUAAGGUAGCGAAAUUCCUUGUCGGGUAAGUUCCGACCUGCACGAAUGGCGUAACGACAGCGGCGCUGUCUCCACCCGAGACUCAGUGAAAUUGAAAUCGCUGUGAAGAUGCAGCGUUCCCGUGGCAAGACGGAAAGACCCCGUGAACCUUUACUAUAGCUUUACACUGAACGUUGAGUUCGUCUGUGUAGGAUAGGUGGGAGGCUAUGAAACCAUGGCGCUAGCUGUGGUGGAGCCAUCCUUGAAAUACCACCCUGUCGUGCUUGACGUUCUAACCUAGGUCCGUAAUCCGGAUCGGGGACCGUGUAUGGUGGGUAGUUUGACUGGGGCGGUCUCCUCCUAAAGAGUAACGGAGGAGCACGAAGGUACGCUCAGCGCGGUCGGACAUCGCGCACUGUGUGCAAAGGCAUAAGCGUGCUUGACUGCAAGAUCGACGGAUCAAGCAGGUACGAAAGUAGGUCUUAGUGAUCCGGUGGUUCUGUAUGGAAGGGCCAUCGCUCAACGGAUAAAAGGUACUCCGGGGAUAACAGGCUGAUACCGCCCAAGAGUUCAUAUCGACGGCGGUGUUUGGCACCUCGAUGUCGGCUCAUCACAUCCUGGGGCUGUAGUCGGUCCCAAGGGUAUGGCUGUUCGCCAUUUAAAGUGGUACGCGAGCUGGGUUCAGAACGUCGUGAGACAGUUCGGUCCCUAUCUGCCAUGGGCGUUGGAGAUUUGAGAGGGGCUGCUCCUAGUACGAGAGGACCGGAGUGGACGAACCUCUGGUGUUCCGGUUGUCACGCCAGUGGCAUUGCCGGGUAGCUAUGUUCGGAAGCGAUAACCGCUGAAAGCAUCUAAGCGGGAAGCGCGCCUCAAGAUGAGAUCUCCCGGGACACAAGUCCCCUAAAGGAACCAUGUAGACUACGUGGUUGAUAGGUCAGG